This 292-nucleotide ribosomal RNA is filed under the name uncultured bacterium. RNAcentral describes it as "partial 16S ribosomal RNA". The record is from RNAcentral.
GGACUACUCGGGUAUCUAAUCCUGUUUGCUCCCCACGCCUUCGCGCCUCAGCGUCAGUCUCGGUCCAGAGCGCCGCCUUCGCCACCGGUGUUCUUCCCAAUAUCUACGAAUUUCACCUCUACACUGGGAAUUCCACGCUCCUCUCCCGAACUCCAGCAUACCAGUCCCAAGCGCACCUCCCAGGUUGAGCCCGGGGCUUUCACGCCUGACUUGAUACGCCGCCUACGCGCCCUUUACGCCCAGUAAAUCCGAACAACGCUCGCCCCCUUCGUAUUACCGCGGCGGCUGGCAC